UACCAACUCCAGAGGGUAAACUACCCACUCCAGAGGGUAAACUACCAACACCAGAGGGUAAACUACCAACUCCAGAGGGUAAACUACCAACUCCAGGGGUGUAGAGGGUAAACUACCAACUCCAGAGGGUAAACUAUCAACUCCAGGGGUAAACUACCAACUCCAGAGGGUAAACUACCAACUCCAGGGGUAAACUAUCAACUCCAGGGAUGUAGAGGGUAAACUACCAACUCCAGGGGUAAACUACCAACUCCAGGGGUAAACUAUCAACUCCAGGGAGGUAGAGGGUAAACUACCAACUCCAGGGGGUAAACUACCAACUCCAGGGGUAAACUACCAACUCCAGGGGUGUAGUGGGUAAACUACCAACUCCAGAGGGUAAACUACCAACUCCAGGGGUAAACUAUCAACUCCAGGGAUGUAGAGGGUAAACUACCAACUCCAGGGGGUAAACUACCAACUCCAGGGGUAAACUACCAACUCCAGGGGUGUAGUGGGUAAACUACCAACUCCAGAGGGUAAACUACCAACUCCAGGUGUAAACUAUCAACUCCAGGGAUG
Oncorhynchus keta (chum salmon) is the source of this 561-nucleotide long non-coding RNA. RefSeq lists it as uncharacterized. NCBI's taxonomy places the organism in Eukaryota, Metazoa, Chordata, Actinopteri, Salmoniformes, Salmonidae. The record is from RefSeq and is a predicted model, not a curated record. The transcript has 4 exons.